UAGAGUUUGAUCCUGGCUCAGAUUGAACGCUGGCGGCGUGCUUAACACAUGCAAGUCGAUCGGUAACGCGGGGGCAACCCUGGCGACGAGAGGCGGACGGGUGAGUAACGCUUGGGAAUCUGCCCAUCAGCGGGGGACAACCCGGGGAAACCCGGGCUAAUACCGCAUACGCUCCACGGAGGAAAGCAGGGGACCGCAAGGCCUUGCACUGAUGGAUGAGCCCAAGCCGGAUUAGCUAGUUGGCGGGGUAACGGCCCACCAAGGCGACGAUCCGUAGCUGGUCUGAGAGGACGAUCAGCCACACCGGAACUGAGACACGGUCCGGACUCCUACGGGAGGCAGCAGUGGGGAAUAUUGGACAAUGGGCGAAAGCCUGAUCCAGCGACGCCGCGUGGGUGAAGAAGGCCUGCGGGUUGUAAAGCCCUUUCGGUAGGGACGAAAGCUUCCGACCUAACAAGUCGGGAGGUUGACUUAACCUACAUAAGAAGCACCGGCUAACUCUGUGCCAGCAGCCCCGGUCAA
This 522-nucleotide ribosomal RNA is filed under the name uncultured bacterium. Its description in RNAcentral is "bacterial SSU rRNA". It matches the Rfam family "Bacterial small subunit ribosomal RNA", at positions 1 to 524 of the family's 1533-position model. The record is from RNAcentral.